UGGGGGAUAUUGCACAAUGGGCGAAAGCCUGAUGCAGCGACGCCGCGUGGGGGAUGAAGGCUUUCGGGUUGUAAACCUCUUUCGCUAUCGAACAAGGCCCGCUUAGGGUGGGUUGAGGGUAGGUGGAGAAGAAGCGCCGGCUAACUACGUGCCAGCAGCCGCGGUAAUACGUAGGGCGCGAGCGUUGUCCGGAAUUAUUGGGCGUAAAGGGCUUGUAGGCGGCUUGUUGCGCCUGCUGUGAAAACGCGGGGCUUAACUUCGCGCGUGCAGGUGGGACGGGCAGGCUUGAGUGUGGUAGGGGUGACUGGGAUUCCAGGUGUAGCGGUGGAAUGCACAGAUAUCUGGAGGAACACCGAUGGCGAAGGCAGGUCACUGGGCCAUUACUGACGCUGAGGAGCGAAAGCAUGGGUAGCGAACAGG
Molecule: ribosomal RNA, 420 nt
Filed under: bacterium
Lineage: Bacteria
Description: partial 16S ribosomal RNA
Rfam family: Bacterial small subunit ribosomal RNA
Source: RNAcentral